Molecule: unclassified non-coding RNA, 2118 nt
Filed under: Amphibalanus amphitrite
Lineage: Eukaryota; Metazoa; Arthropoda; Thecostraca; Balanomorpha; Balanidae
Description: apolipoprotein D-like, transcript variant X4
Source: RNAcentral
CAGCGCUCAGCCGACGGCGCGCCGAUCAGCUGACUGGCGGCCGGCUCCAGCCGCCGCGCAGGGACGGCGGCCGGCGAGUCGGCCGGCGGCGGCGGCGGUACAGCCGGAGGUAUCACCGCCAGCCAACGUCAGCCCGGAGGCUGAGUUCGACAUCAUGACGACCGAAGGUUUUCCAAGUACCCGCCUCACCCCGCCCCAGCCCGGCCCCGCCCCGGCCCGCUGCGGCAGCCCGGUGUGUGCGACAUGCAGCUCGGCUCGGGCGACGCGCUGCCGACGCUCAGUCGUGCUCCGAGCCCCGUCGCCGCCGGUCGUUGCAUGCUGCUGGGGCCCUCCUGCUGGUACAGAGACCGGACAGCGGCGGCGGCGGGUCGACUGGCCAACCGAGACAUCACAUUCUAACUGCAACUACAAGAUGCUGCUGCCAACCCUCCUCCUCGGGUGUUUCCUGUUGGUGACGGAUGUAACCGGCCACAAAUAUUCGACCAGCAAAUGUCCGAAUCCCAAUCCCGUGAAGGACUUCGACGAGUCUCAGAUCCUGGGAAAGUGGCGCGUGGAGUACGCCGUGAAGACGACCAGCACGUGCUUCGACAUGGACUUCCGCAAGGAGGGCAGCCAGCUCAUGGUGUACGAGACCAAGGAGCCGGCGGCGCCCGAGAAUCUCAGUCUGGAUGUCAAGUACGGCUCGGUGGGCACCCUGGCCUCCACGGCCCAGGCUGGCUACUACCAGGCCUCCUUCUCCACCAGUGUGAUUUCCGGCCGGUUCGUGGUGCUGGACACCGACUACAAGACCUACAUGGUGGUGUUCCACUGUAUGCAGAUGUCCAUCCUCGGCAGCAGGAGGGCCGUCUACGUCCUCUCCAGAGACGGCGCCAAGAUCACCGACGAACGGCUCAAGCAGGUGCGCGGCCGGCUGCCCGAGCUGGACGUGGAGGCCGGCCUGCUGGCCAAGGUGUCCCACGAGCAGUGCACCACCGCCGAGCAGGCCGACGUCGACCUCACCGGCUCCGUCAACGUCAAGGACGUGCUGAAGGCCGCCAAGAAGGUCGUCACCGUCGGCGGCGGCAUCCUGGAGCUGGUUCAGGUGUUCGGCGCGCUGGGCUGAGCUGAGCUGAGGGCGUUACACGCUGGGCUGAGGGCGCUACACGAUGGGCUGAGCGCGUCAAACGCUGCGCUGUGGGCGUUACACGCUGGGCUGAGGGCGUUGCACGCUGGACUUGGGGCGUUACACGCUGGGCUGAACGCUUCAGACUCGGGGGUGAGUGCGCCCGGCUAAUUUAAGGUGCCGAGUGACCAGUGUUCGGUACUCUGUAUGUUGCCCCCUUGCGAAGAGGAUGGUGAAGCACGGGUGUUUUUUAUGUAUAGGUAUCUGUUAACUCAAUGAGUUCCAGAAGCAAAAUUGAACGGGGGUGUAUUAUCGUUUCAAAAUGAAAACGGAGUGGAAAGCAAUAUGAUCGACUUUCAGGCUGACCAGCUUAUGAUUUAUCAGUCCCUACUUUGUAGAAAAAAAUAGAUGUGAACAAAAUAUAAAUCCCAUUCCACUUUAUUGAAAGGUAACGCUCAUCAAUCGUGAUGAAUGCUCCAUAUUUAUGUGAAUCGUAGCUUUAUUGGGUCAACCUCCCAAAAAUUGUAUGUGUUUUAACAUUGCUUUAAGCCACCAGUCGCUACUUUUAAGACAGACUGUACAUUAUUUGUUGUGUAGGAACUAGGAACGAAGCGUUGGAACGAAUGCUAAGUCGUCGUUGUUGAAGCAUGUUAUUUUGUUUGUGACUGGGAUUGCGCCGAUUGCGUGUUGUGUCUCAUUCCUAGUGACUGUUAGCAAGAUAUCGCACAAGAACGCGAUCCAGCGCGAUCUUUUCGCGUCGCGAUCACUCAGUAGGCAUAUAGUGAUCGCUGCUCGGUGCUUUUGGACGUGCUGUGUAGUUUGUACGGAGCGAAUAGUGAAUACGAUUCGUGGUGAGAGCUGCAAAUAUCGAACAUUGCACAACGCGUUUUACCUACUUAUUACGAGUACCUACAUUAUACACGCUAGUCACCGUCAACGUCAAUGUCUGAACCAAUCGCCCAUUUCGCGUCAUUUUUAUCGCUUAUAGAUUCACAAAUAAACACCCACAAAACUUA